Molecule: ribosomal RNA, 301 nt
Filed under: uncultured bacterium
Lineage: Bacteria
Description: partial 16S ribosomal RNA
Rfam family: Bacterial small subunit ribosomal RNA
Source: RNAcentral
CAGCCGCCACGGUAAUACGAAGGGUGCAAGCGUUACUCGGAAUUACUGGGCGUAAAGCGUGCGUAGGUGGUGGUUUAAGUCCGUUGUGAAAGCCCUGGGCUCAACCUGGGAAUUGCAGUGGAUACUGGGCGACUAGAGUAAGGUAGAGGAUAGUGGAAUUUCCGGUGUAGCAGUGAAAUGCGUAGAGAUCGGAAGGAACAUCUGUGGCGAAGGCGACUAUCUGGGCCAUUACUGACACUGAGGCACGAAAGCGUGGGGAGCAAACAGGAUUAGAUACCCCAGUAGUCCCUGUCUCUUAUAC